GAUGAACGCUGGCGGCGUGCCUAAUACAUGCAAGUCGAACGAGGUGCUUGAGUAGCAAUACAAGAGUAUCCUAGUGGCGAACGGGUGAGUAACGCGUUGGUGACCUACCCCAAAGUGUGGGAUAACAGUUCGAAAGAACUGCUAAUACCGCAUGUGGUUAUUGGAUUUAGAAACUGAUAACUAAAGGAGCAAUUCGCUUUGGGAGGGACCUGCGUCCCAUCAGCUAGUUGGUGAGGUAAUGGCUCACCAAGGCUACGACGGGUAGGGGACCUGAGAGGGUGACCCCCCCACAAUGGAACUGAAACACGGUCCAUACACCUACGGGUGGCAGCAGUAGGGAAUAUUGCACAAUGGGCGAAAGCCUGAUGCAGCAACGCCGCGUGUGCGAUGAAGGCCUUCGGGUCGUAAAGCACUUUUCUGAGAGAUGAGCAAGGACAGUAUCUCAGGAAUAAGUCUACGGCUAACUACGUAGCCAGCAGCCGCGGUAA
Molecule: ribosomal RNA, 488 nt
Filed under: uncultured bacterium
Lineage: Bacteria
Description: bacterial SSU rRNA
Rfam family: Bacterial small subunit ribosomal RNA
Source: RNAcentral